RNAcentral lists this ribosomal RNA (261 nucleotides) under uncultured archaeon. RNAcentral describes it as "partial 16S ribosomal RNA". It matches the Rfam family "Archaeal small subunit ribosomal RNA", at positions 748 to 1009 of the family's 1478-position model. The record is from RNAcentral.
UAGCCGUAAACGAUACUCGCUAGGUGUCGGCCACGGUGCGACCGUUGUCGGUGCCGUAGGGAAGCCGUGAAGCGAGCCACCUGGGAAGUACGGCCGCAAGGCUGAAACUUAAAGGAAUUGGCGGGGGAGCACAACAACGGGUGGAGCUUGCGGUUUAAUUGGACUCAACGCCGGACAACUCACCAGGAGCGACGGUUACAUGAAGGCCAGGCUGAUGACCUUGCCUGAUUUUCCGAGAGGUGGUGCAUGGCGUAGUCGUGU